Molecule: long non-coding RNA, 359 nt
Organism: Clupea harengus (Atlantic herring)
Lineage: Eukaryota; Metazoa; Chordata; Actinopteri; Clupeiformes; Clupeidae
Exons: 3
Source: RefSeq, a predicted model, not a curated record
AAGCAGGGAGAUAGUAAUGAGUGUCGGGCGAACAAGCGUCCACGCUCGGAGUGUUUGGACGUUGUGCCACCCAUAACACAACAGAGAGAUCACUGCACUGCUGGACCAGGCAAUGUGCCCUGUUCAGUUUACCACUACACAACUCCAGCUCUUCAGAGGCAUAAGCUGGUGGAGGCCACUGGAGACCUGGAACAGAGACUCUGCCAACAGCACUACCGAGCGCUGGAGUUAUUUUGCGAGACUGACCAGACUCCAAUCUGUGUGUUAUGUGUUGCAAAACAACACAGAGGGCAUGACAUAACAGAACUCGAAGAAAAACAGAGUCGUCAGAUGAAGGCAUCUGAAAUGGCACCCAACAA